AGCGGUGGAGUAUGUGGCUUAAUUCGACGCAACGCGAAGAACCUUACCAAGGCUUGACAUACACCGGAAAGCAUCAGAGAUGGUGCCCCCCUUGUGGUCGGUGUACAGGUGGUGCAUGGCUGUCGUCAGCUCGUGUCGUGAGAUGUUGGGUUAAGUCCCGCAACGAGCGCAACCCUUAUCCUGUGUUGCCAGCGUGCCCUUCGGGGUGACGGGGACUCACAGGAGACCGCCGGGGUCAACUCGGAGGAAGGUGGGGACGACGUCAAGUCAUCAUGC
This 276-nucleotide ribosomal RNA is filed under the name uncultured streptomycete. Its description in RNAcentral is "partial 16S ribosomal RNA". It matches the Rfam family "Bacterial small subunit ribosomal RNA", at positions 928 to 1198 of the family's 1533-position model. Lineage: Bacteria; Bacillati; Actinomycetota; Actinomycetes; Kitasatosporales. The record is from RNAcentral.